Molecule: unclassified non-coding RNA, 619 nt
Filed under: Bombus terrestris (buff-tailed bumblebee)
Lineage: Eukaryota; Metazoa; Arthropoda; Insecta; Hymenoptera; Apidae
Description: misc RNA ENSBTSG00005036876.1
Source: RNAcentral
UUCCAUAAUGUGGAAUUUGAAUAGCGCCGCAACGAGGCUCGUCUAUCGCGGCCAGACUGGCAAAAUUUGAAAGAAAUCUCAAGAUGUCGCAUCCAAAUUGUGCAAAGCGUUUCGUUAAAGCGCUAAUAAAGUCUCGAUAUGUUUUACGUAACACGCACGCAUCAAAGUUUUCUGUGACGUUGAAAUACUUCCGUGAGCCACUACCGUACGUAGAAUAUCGCCACAGGUCUUCUAUUCCACGCUGGCUCUACCUCCUUUAAAGGGUGAUGUACCGCUUAAACGAGCAUCGGCGUAUUUAAAGUCGUGAUAUCGAUGCGAUGGCUGAAUAGAGGAACAAUGUCAAGACCUUCGAUUUUUACGACACACACAAGAAUUUAUAGAACGUCGAAGGAGAAACAGAUUUCGAAACAUUGAACGGAAGAAUAGUCUACGGGGUGGAAGGAGAACGAGGUGGUCUGCUUUUGUCGAAAUACGUGGUACACGGGGCAUCAGCUUUUUGCUAAUUAGAGAAUCGUAAUGGAAUUUCGAUUCGUUGGCGUAAAUAAUACCAGACGUCUAAUAAUUGAAUAUAAAGAAAAUAUAAAUUUGUAGGAACAUCGGGCAGUUAAAAUGGAAUGCC